UACGUAGGCGGCAAGCGUUGUCCGGAUUUAUUGGGUUUAAAGGGUGCGUAGGCGGCUUUGUAAGUCAGUGGUGAAAUAUGGCAGCUCAACUGUCAGGGUGCCAUUGAUACUGCGGAGCUUGAGUACAGAUGAGGUAGGCGGAAUUGACGGUGUAGCGGUGAAAUGCUUAGAUAUCGUCAAGAACACCGAUAGCGAAGGCAGCUUACUGGGCUGUAACUGACGCUGAGGCACGAAAGUGUGGGGAUCAAACAGG
This 253-nucleotide ribosomal RNA is filed under the name uncultured bacterium. RNAcentral's name for it is "partial 16S ribosomal RNA". It matches the Rfam family "Bacterial small subunit ribosomal RNA", at positions 524 to 776 of the family's 1533-position model. The record is from RNAcentral.